Molecule: ribosomal RNA, 2981 nt
Filed under: Burkholderia mallei 2002721280
Lineage: Bacteria; Pseudomonadati; Pseudomonadota; Betaproteobacteria; Burkholderiales; Burkholderiaceae
Description: 23S ribosomal RNA
Source: RNAcentral
GCGCCGACGCCCGCUGCGCAGAGCGCGACCACGAGCGACGGCGUGACGAGCGAAAACAGCGCCACACCGAAGAUCGCGCCGGCGACGGCGCCGAUCGUCGUGCCGUGUCUCGCAUGCUGCAUCGCAUCGAGGGGACGCGUGGCCGCGUGCUGGGCGCGGGACAGACGCUCGGACCAUCGCGGCGCAUGCUGGCCGCGCGGAUUGACGAAGAACAGACUGACGUCCUCGGCGACGAAACCGCUGUCGAGAAGCCGCUGGGUGGCGGCCUCGGCGGCGCGCUGCGUCGUGAAGCGUGCUGCGACGAUCAAUGACAUGGCGCCCUCCUGAUGGUGGCGUGAAGGCCAUCCGAAUGCCCGUCGCCCGGGCGCGGAUGCGCUCGGCUUGCGGCGCGGGCACGAUGUAUUGGACAGCCGGCGCGCGGCGGAGUGCGGGCGGCAACGGGCUCGCGUGCGGAUUCCGACGCGCUGCUGCUGCGUUUCCGAAGUAUGUCCAAUGCGUCUUCGACGCGUUUUCGACGUGCAAAGGCGAACGGCGGGGCGGGUCGGGGAUAACGGGGUGGGAGCACGAGGGCGGUGUGGGAGAUGGCGAUCGCUUCGUGGUUCCGUUCCCAUCGCGCGCGGCGGGGAGGAUGGCUGAACGGCCGAGUCGACGCGGCCGUGCGAAGCGGCGAUAGUGAAGGCGUAUGCGGGACGGAUCGCGGCCGUCGAGGUGGACGGGUCGGGCGAGAUGCGGGCGUGUGCGGUGUGCUGGCCGGUGCGCUUCGGCGAUCCGUGGGAGGCCGUCGGGGGGCAGGGCGUGCGAUCGCUCAUGCAUCGGUGAGCGUGCGGAGCCGGGUAGGUGCAGAGGAGAGCCGCACGCGGGGCGAGCUCGGGUGGGGGCAAGCGUGCCCAAUCCCGUCCGGGCAGCCCCGGCCGGCCCCAGCCGGGGCUAAAACGCAACCGGACCUACGCGGGCCCAGGCGGCCCAGGCGGACCUAGGCGGACCUAGGCGGACCUAGGCCAAGCGGACUCGACCCCGGACCCAAGCGGGCGGUUCCACGGCGCUCAACCCGCUGCGGCGGUCGUAUCGCGCCGCGCGCGGAUUCUCAGCAGGCUCACGGCCGCCGCGACGGCGGCGAACGAGCUCGCCGCGUAGAGCGCGAUCGUCGGCCCGUGCUGCGGCGCGAUGCCGAAGAUCAGCGCGACGAGCGCGGCGCCGAGCGUUUGUCCGGUGAGCCGGGCGGUGCCGAGCAUCCCGCUUGCGCCGCCCGCGCGCUCGCGCGGCGCGGACGACAGGAUCGCGCGGUUGUUCGGCGACUGGAAGAGCCCGAAGCCCGCGCCGCACAGCGCCAUCCGCCACAUGAUGUCGACGGGCGUCGGGUGCGCACCGAUCGUCGCGAGCGCGAACAGGCCGGAUGCGAACAGGGCGAGGCCGAUGCCGCCCAGCGCGCCCGCCGAAUAGCGGUCGGACAGCACGCCCGCGAGCGGCGCCGCGACGACGAUCACGAGCGGCCACGGCGUCAUGUAGAGCCCCGUCUGGACCUGCGAGAAGCCGAGCGUGUUCUGUAGCCAGAACGGCAGCGCGACGAACGCGAGCAUCUGCGAUGUGAACGACGCGACCGAUGUGCCGAUCGACAGCGCGAAGAUCGGAACGCGCAUCAGGUCGACGGGCAACAGCGGCGCGGGCUGCGUCAACUGGCGCUUGACGAAGAAGUAGCCGAUCACGGCGGCCACGAGCGCGGUGAGCGCGACGCUCGCGCGAUUCCCGCCGUGGCCGAGCCCGUCGACGGACACGAUCAACAGCCCGAACACGCAGGCGUUCAUCACGGCGCCGAUGAAAUCGUACGGCGCGCUGCGGCCCGGAUUCGCCGGCAGCGCGCGCAGGCUGCCGCACACGGCGGCGACGCCGAUCGGCACGUUGAUCGCGAAGAGCCACGGCCACGGCGCGACGGCGAGCACCGCGGACGCGACGGUCGGCCCGACCGCCGACGACAGUGCGACGACCAUUGCGUUGAUCGCGACGCCGCGCCCGAGUUGCGAAGACGGAUAGAUCAUCCGCACGAGCGCGGUAUUCACGCUCAUGAUGCCGGCCGCGCCGAAGCCCUGGAUCACGCGCAGCGUCGCGAGCGCGGGCAGCGUGCCCGACAGCGCGCAGCCGAGCGACGCCGCCGUGAAGAGCAUGAGCCCCGCGAUGUAGACGCGCCGGUAGCCGAUGCGGUCCCCGAGCGAGGCGAGCGGCAGCAGCGAGAUCGUGACGGCGAGUUGGUACGCGUUGACGAUCCAGAUCGACGCGGCGUCGGAGGCGCGCAGAUCGCGGGCGAUCGUCGGCAGCGCGACGUUCGCGAUCGCGCCGUCGAGCACGGCGAGCGUGAUGCCCAGCGCGACGCAGACGAUCGCCCAGUAGCGUUGCGGGAACGGCAGUCCGGAGUCGGCGUUCAUGGCGGAGGCGGUGGCGAGGCGAGAAGCUGGGCGGCGAGUCCGUUGCGCACGCAACCGCCGGCAUGCGCGGGCGAGCCGUGCGGCCGGCGGCGAGGGCCGGGCGCAGCGCCCGGCCGGGGCGGAUUACUUCAGUUCCUUCAAUUCGUAGAGACCGGUGUAGGUUGCCGAAUCGAUUUCGUUCAGAUGGAUCAUGAAGCGGGCGACCGCGUUGGUGGUCUCCUUCGUGACGGGCAGCGAAUCGACCUUCAGCGCGUGCAGCCGGAAGAUGUAGCGAUGCGGCUUGUCGCCGCGCGGCGGCGCGGCGCCGCCGAAGCCUUCGUCGCCGUAGUCGUUGCGCACCUGCACGGCGCCGGCGGGCAGCGCCGCGCUACCCGCCGCGCCCGCGUCCUGCGGCAGGCCCGCCGUGUCGACCGGGAUGUUGACGACGGCCCAGUGCCAGAAGCCGCUGCCCGUCGGCGCAUCGGGAUCGUAGACGGUGAGCGCGAGGCUCUUCGCAUCGGCGGGCACGCCUUCCCAAUGGAGCGCGGGCGAGCGGUUGCCGCCGUCGACGCCGAAGCCUUCGUG